RNAcentral lists this long non-coding RNA (783 nucleotides) under Equus caballus (horse). RNAcentral's name for it is "lncRNA (ENSECAG00000055613.1)". Lineage: Eukaryota; Metazoa; Chordata; Mammalia; Perissodactyla; Equidae. The record is from RNAcentral.
AGACUUUGGAGAUCUCACAAAUAAAUAGAAUGUGAAAUCCUCAUUUAGACAAACCAGCUAUAGAAGACUUCUUGGGGACAGCUGGAAAAAUGGCCUAUAAUUUUACUUAGUGGGGAGGAAGAUGAAAUGGAUCUAUGCUGUCUUAUCUAGACUGGAGGUCCCAAGUGAUAUUUCACAAAGGUGCAAAAGCAAUUCAGUGGAAAAAGAAUGACAUUCUCAACAAUGGUCCAUAUAGUGGAUGUCUGCAUACAAAAAAAGAGGAAGGGAUAGUCAUCCUGGAGCCAAAGCAAGACUCAGUACUGAAAGACCAGGGAUUUAGUGUGAAUGAAGGAAGGGCUUUGGUCCCACUGGCCUCCAAGUAUGCCAGAGCAUCACAGUAAGAACUGUGGAUCCUGAGCACCAUGAGAGCAGUCUUAUUCAAGGGCCUUUCCUCAGAAUGGAUGAAUAAGAGUUCAACCAAGUGAAGACAGGGAAGGAGAAUAUUCUAGGAACAAGUUCAGAGUGCACAAAAUCCCCAUGGAGGGAGAGCACAUGAUGUGAAUGAAGGCAGAAGAGGUACCCAAUAAAGCUGGAUAGGUAAGAUGGAGUCAUACGAUGCAAAAAUCUUCAUAGAGCACAUUAAAGAUUUAGUUUUUUGAUGUAAGAACAAUGAGAAGAUGCUGAAGAGUUUUAGGAGUGUGGGGGAGGUGGCAUGAUCAGAGUACACUUUGAAAAAGAUAAGUCUGACCAAAGUAAAGGAGAGCAUAGUGAAUACAUAGAGAACAGUUAGGAGGUGUUGAAGAA